This 127-nucleotide small nucleolar RNA is filed under the name Castor canadensis (American beaver). Its description in RNAcentral is "Small nucleolar RNA SNORA30/SNORA37 family (ENSCCNG00000018254.1)". It matches the Rfam family "Small nucleolar RNA SNORA30/SNORA37 family". From Rfam's summary of the family: The members of this family belong to the H/ACA class of snoRNAs that guide the sites of modification of uridines to pseudouridines. This family includes human ACA30 (SNORA30), ACA37 (SNORA37) and the mouse homolog MBI-26. Lineage: Eukaryota; Metazoa; Chordata; Mammalia; Rodentia; Castoridae. The record is from Rfam by way of RNAcentral.
CUAGCACUUUAACAGGUCCUCCCCUAGCAGUGGCCCUAGUAUUUGGUAGCUGGUGCUGAGAGAAAACUCUGACUGCAUUCUUGCCUUGGAACUGUACCAGUGGCAGCUGUCACUCAGUGGAAGAGAA